AGUGAACGCUGGCGGUAGGCCUAACACAUGCAAGUCGAACGGCAGCACAGUAAGAGCUUGCUCUUACGGGUGGCGAGUGGCGGACGGGUGAGGAAUACAUCGGAAUCUACUUUUUCGUGGGGGAUAACGUAGGGAAACUUACGCUAAUACCGCAUACGACCUACGGGUGAAAGCAGGGGAUCUUCGGACCUUGCGCGAGUGAAUGAGCCGAUGUCGGAUUAGCUAGUUGGCGGGGUAAAGGCCCACCAAGGCGACGAUCCGUAGCUGGUCUGAGAGGAUGAUCAGCCACACUGGAACUGAGACACGGUCCAGACUCCUACGGGAGGCAGCAGUGGGGAAUAUUGGACACUGGGCGCAAGCCUGAUCCAGCCCUACCGCGUGGGUGAAGAAGGCCUUCGGGUUGUAAAGCCCUUUUGUUGGGAAAGAAAAGCAGCAGGUUAAUACCCCGCUGUUCUGACGGUACCCAAAGAAUAAGCACCGGCUAACUUCGUG
This 492-nucleotide ribosomal RNA is filed under the name uncultured bacterium. RNAcentral describes it as "partial 16S ribosomal RNA". It matches the Rfam family "Bacterial small subunit ribosomal RNA", at positions 29 to 507 of the family's 1533-position model. The record is from RNAcentral.